Molecule: ribosomal RNA, 279 nt
Filed under: uncultured bacterium
Lineage: Bacteria
Description: partial 16S ribosomal RNA
Rfam family: Bacterial small subunit ribosomal RNA
Source: RNAcentral
UGCCAGCAGCCGCGGUAACACAGAGGUGGCAAGCGUUGUUCGGUAUCACUGGGCUUAAAGGGCGCGUAGGCUGUGCGGUACGGUUCGGGUGAAAUCCCUCGGCUCAACCGAGGAACUGCCUGGGCAACGGCCGUGCUAGACAGCAUCAGGGGAAGGUGGAACUCCCGGUGGAGCGGUGAAAUGCGUAGAUAUCGGGAGGAACGCCGGUGGCGAAAGCGACCUUCUGGGGUGCUUGUGACGCUGAGGCGCGAAAGCUAGGGGAGCGAACGGGAUUAGAUA